Molecule: ribosomal RNA, 433 nt
Filed under: uncultured bacterium
Lineage: Bacteria
Description: partial 16S ribosomal RNA
Rfam family: Bacterial small subunit ribosomal RNA
Source: RNAcentral
AACGAACGCUGGCGGCAUGCCUAACACAUGCAAGUCGAACGAGACCUUCGGGUCUAGUGGCGCACGGGUGCGUAACGCGUGGGAACCUGCCCUUAGGUUCGGAAUAACUCCCCGAAAGGGGUGCUAAUACCGGGUAAUGUCUUCGGACCAAAGAUUUAUCGCCUUUGGAUGGGCCCGCGUUGGAUUAGCUAGUUGGUAGGGUAAAAGCCCACCAAGGCGACGAUCCAUAGCUGGUCUGAGAGGAUGAUCAGCCACACUGGGACUGAGACACGGCCCAGACUCCUACGGGAGGCAGCAGUGGGGAAUAUUGGACAAUGGGCGAAAGCCUGAUCCAGCAAUGCCGCGUGAGUGAUGAAGGCCUUAGGGUUGUAAAGCUCUUUUACCCGGGAUGAUAAUGACAGUACCGGGAGAAUAAGCUCCGGCUAACUCCGUG